UUAAUAGAAGAGUUUGAUCAUGGCUCAGAUUGAACGCUGGCGGCAGGCCUAACACAUGCAAGUCGAGCGGUAACAGGAAAGUGCUUGCACUUUUGCUGACGAGCGGCGGACGGGUGAGUAAUGUCUGGGGAUCUGCCCGAUGGCGGGGGAUAACCACUGGAAACGGUGGCUAAUACCGCAUAAUGUCGCAAGACCAAAGUGGGGGACCUUCGGGCCUCACGCCAUGGGAUGAACCCAGAUGGGAUUAGCUGGUAGGUAGGGUAAUGGCCUACCUAGGCGACGAUCCCUAGCUGGUCUGAGAGGAUGACCAGCCACACUGGGACUGAGACACGGCCCAGACUCCUACGGGAGGC
RNAcentral lists this ribosomal RNA (353 nucleotides) under Photorhabdus khanii subsp. guanajuatensis. RNAcentral's name for it is "bacterial SSU rRNA". It matches the Rfam family "Bacterial small subunit ribosomal RNA", at positions 1 to 349 of the family's 1533-position model. The record is from RNAcentral. Lineage: Bacteria; Pseudomonadati; Pseudomonadota; Gammaproteobacteria; Enterobacterales; Morganellaceae.